Molecule: unclassified non-coding RNA, 264 nt
Filed under: rhizosphere metagenome
Description: partial ribosomal RNA internal transcribed spacer region
Source: RNAcentral
GAAUAACUAUGGUGUCUUGGUUGUAGCUGGCUCCUCGGAGCAAUGUGCACGCCCGCCAUUUUUAUCUUUCCACCUGUGCACCGACUGUAGGUCUGGAUGACUCUCGUACUCCGGUGCGGAUGCGAGGAUUGCUCUCGGGCUCUCCUCGAAUUUCCAGGCUCUACGUCUUUUUACACACCCCAAACGUAUGAUACAGAAUGUAGUCAAUGGGCUUGAUCGCCUAUAAAACACUAUACAACUUUCAGCAACGGAUCUCUUGGCUCU